This 412-nucleotide ribosomal RNA is filed under the name uncultured bacterium. Its description in RNAcentral is "bacterial SSU rRNA". It matches the Rfam family "Bacterial small subunit ribosomal RNA", at positions 335 to 740 of the family's 1533-position model. The record is from RNAcentral.
ACUCCUACGGGAGGCAGCAGUGGGGAAUAUUGCACAAUGGGCGCAAGCCUGAUGCAGCCAUGCCGCGUGUGUGAAGAAGGCCUUCGGGUUGUAAAGCACUUUCAGUUGUGAGGAAGGUGGUGUCGUUAAUAGCGGCAUCAUUUGACGUUAGCAACAGAAGAAGCACCGGCUAACUCCGUGCCAGCAGCCGCGGUAAUACGGAGGGUGCGAGCGUUAAUCGGAAUUACUGGGCGUAAAGCGCAUGCAGGUGGUUUGUUAAGUCAGAUGUGAAAGCCCGGGGCUCAACCUCGGAACUGCAUUUGAAACUGGCAGACUAGAGUACUGUAGAGGGGGGUAGAAUUUCAGGUGUAGCGGUGAAAUGCGUAGAGAUCUGAAGGAAUACCGGUGGCGAGGCGGCCCCCUGGACAGAUAC